UACGUAGGGGGCAAGCGUUGUCCGGAAUCAUUGGGCGUAAAGCGCGCGUAGGCGGCCCGGUAAGUCCGCUGUGAAAGUCAAAGGCUCAACCUUUGAAUGUCAGCGGAUACUGCCGGGCUAGAGUCCGGAAGAGGCGAGUGGAACUCCUGGUGUAGCGGUGGAAUGCGUAGAUAUCGUAAGGAAGACCAGUGGCGAAGGCGGGUCUCUGGACAGUUCCUGACGCUGAGACACGAAAGCCAGGGGAGCAAACGGG
This 253-nucleotide ribosomal RNA is filed under the name uncultured bacterium. RNAcentral's name for it is "partial 16S ribosomal RNA". It matches the Rfam family "Bacterial small subunit ribosomal RNA", at positions 524 to 776 of the family's 1533-position model. The record is from RNAcentral.